Molecule: ribosomal RNA, 508 nt
Filed under: uncultured Lachnospiraceae bacterium
Lineage: Bacteria; Bacillati; Bacillota; Clostridia; Lachnospirales; Lachnospiraceae
Description: partial 16S ribosomal RNA
Source: RNAcentral
CACGUAGUUAGCCGGGGCUGCUUAGUCAAGUACUGUCCUUCCUCUUCCUUGCUGAUAGAAGUUUACGAUCCGAAAAUCUUCUUCCUUCACGCGGCAUCGCUGCAUCAGGGUUCCCCCCAUUGUGCAAUAUUCCCCACUGCUGCCUCCCGUAGGAGUCUGGGCCGUGUCUCAGUCCCAAUGUGGCCGUCCAUCCCUCUCAGACCGGCUACUGAUCGUUGCCUUGGUAAGCCCUUUACCUCCCCAACUAGCUAAUCAGUCGCGGGCCCAUCCUAUACCGUCUCGGCUUUUCCUACUAGUUCAUGCGAACCUGUAGGCUUAUGCGGUAUUAGCGUACAUUUCAUACGUUAUCCCCCUGUACUAGGGUAGGUUACCCACGUGUUACUCACCCGUCCGCCGCUAGAUCUAUUCCCUUCCAGGCCGAAGCCUUUCCGCAAAACUCUCUCGCUCGACUUGCAUGUGUAAGCGUGCCGCCAGCCGUUCAUCCUGACGCCGAGGAUACGAAAACUCU